This is a long non-coding RNA of Oncorhynchus tshawytscha (Chinook salmon), 571 nucleotides long. Lineage: Eukaryota; Metazoa; Chordata; Actinopteri; Salmoniformes; Salmonidae. The record is from Ensembl.
GAGAGAGAGAGAGAGAGGGUUAGAGAAAGAGAGAGAGAGGGUUAGAGAAAGAGAAAGAGAGACAGAGAGGGUUAGAGAGAGAGAGAGAAAGGUAGAGUAAGAGAGGGUUAGAGAGAGAUAGAGAGAGAGAAAGAGAGAGAGAGAAUUUAAUUGGGAGAGGUAGAGUAAGAGAGAGAGGGAGAGAGAGUGAGAGGUAGAGUAAGAGAGAGAGAGAGGGUUACAGAAAGAGGGUUAGAGAGAGAGGGUAGAGAGAGAGAGAGAGAGAGAGAGAGGGGAGGGGUUAGAGAAAGAGGGUUAGAGAGAGAGGGUUAGAGAGAGAGAGAGAGAGAGAGGGUUAGAGAAAGAGAGAGAGAGGGUUAGAGAAAGAGAAAGAGAGACAGAGAGGGUUAGAGAGAGAGAGAGAAAGAGGUAGAGUAAGAGAGGGUUAGAGCGAGCAAGAGAGAGAGGGUUAGAGAGAGAGAGAGGGUUAGAGAGAGGGUUGGAGAGAGAGAGAGAGAGGGUUAGAGAAAGAGAGAGAGAGGGUUAGAGAAAGAGAAAGAGAGACAGAGAGGGUUAGAGAGAGAGAAAGAGA